Molecule: ribosomal RNA, 975 nt
Filed under: human gut metagenome
Description: bacterial LSU rRNA
Rfam family: Bacterial large subunit ribosomal RNA
Source: RNAcentral
AUAACGGUCCUAAGGUAGCGAAAUUCCUUGUCGGGUAAGUUCCGACCUGCACGAAAGGCGCAACGACUUGGGCGCUGUCUCGACCAUGGACCCGGUGAAAUUGCACUGGUCGUGAAGAUGCGACUUACCCGCGGAAGGACGGAAAGACCCCGUGAACCUUCACUGCAGCUUGGCAUUGGCCGCUGGUCCCGCGUGUAGAGGAUAGGCAGGAGGCAUCGAUCCGGAGGCGCCAGCCCCCGGGGAGCCGCCCUUGGAAUACUGCCCUCGCGCGACCGGCGUCCUAACCCGAGGCCGUCAACCGGCUCGGGGACCGUGCCAGGCGGGCAGUUUGACUGGGGCGGUCGCCUCCUAAAGGGUAACGGAGGCGCGCGAAGGUCCGCUCGGGACGGUCGGCAACCGUCCUUUUGAAUGCAAGAGUACAAGCGGGCUUGACUGCGAGGCCCACAAGCCGAGCAGGUGCGAAAGCAGGCUCUAGUGAUCCGGCGGCCCCGAGUGGGUGGGCCGUCGCUCAACGGAUAAAAGGUACUCCGGGGAUAACAGGCUGAUCUUGCCCAAGAGUCCACAUCGACGGCAAGGUUUGGCACCUCGAUGUCGGCUCAUCGCAUCCUGGGGCUGGAGCAGGUCCCAAGGGUACGGCUGUUCGCCGUUUAAAGCGGUACGCGAGCUGGGUUCAGAACGUCGUGAGACAGUUCGGUCCCUAUCCUCCGUGGGCGCAGGAGAAUCGAUGGAGGCUGCCCCCAGUACGAGAGGACCGGGGUGGACGCACCUCCGGUGAACCGGUUGUCGACCAACGGCACGGCCGGGUAGCCGCGUGCGGCGCGGAUAACCGCUGAAGGCAUCUAAGCGGGAAGCCGUUCCAGGGAUUAGUUCUCCUUCCGGUAAGGGCCCAGGUAGACUACCUGGUCGAUAGACGGCAGGUGCAAGGACGGCGACGUCCUCAGCCGAGCCGCACUAAUCGCCCGAGCUCUUCCGGAA